RNAcentral lists this transfer RNA (71 nucleotides) under Marmota monax (woodchuck). It matches the Rfam family "tRNA". Rfam says of the family: Transfer RNA (tRNA) molecules are approximately 80 nucleotides in length. Their secondary structure includes four short double-helical elements and three loops (D, anti-codon, and T loops). Lineage: Eukaryota; Metazoa; Chordata; Mammalia; Rodentia; Sciuridae. The record is from Rfam by way of RNAcentral.
UGGGAUAUAGCUCAGUGGUAGGGCACAUGCUUUGCAAGCAUGAAAUAUGGGGUUUAAUCCCAGCACUUCAA